Non-coding RNA from Schistosoma rodhaini, 45 nucleotides. Lineage: Eukaryota; Metazoa; Platyhelminthes; Trematoda; Strigeidida; Schistosomatidae. The record is from Rfam.
AUCCAGCUGACGAAUUCCAAAUUGGACGAAACGCUCGUCCUGGUU